UACGUAGGGUGCGAGCGUUAAUCGGAAUUACUGGGCGUAAAGCGUGCGCAGGCGGUUUUGUAAGCCAGAUGUGAAAGCCCCGGGCUUAACCUGGGAACUGCGUCUGAUACUGGGUGGCUUGAAUCCGGGAGAGGGAUGCGGAAUUCCAGGUGUAGCGGUGAAAUGCGUAGAUAUCUGGAGGAACACCGGUGGCGAAGGCGGCAUCCUGGACCGGCAUUGACGCUGAGGCGCGAAAGCCAGGGGAGCAAACGGG
This 253-nucleotide ribosomal RNA is filed under the name uncultured bacterium. Its description in RNAcentral is "partial 16S ribosomal RNA". It matches the Rfam family "Bacterial small subunit ribosomal RNA", at positions 524 to 776 of the family's 1533-position model. The record is from RNAcentral.